AUUUUGUCUUCUUCAGGUCUGAGGAGCUGGAGGAGGAGGUGGAAGCUGAAUGAACCAUGAGAGCCAAGUUAAUUUCAAGAUGGAGCUGAUAGGAAAUGUGAGGCUGGCAGCAGCACUGAACAAGAGGCAGUCCAAUGUGGUGUCAGAGCUGGACGAGCAGCUUGAAACAUCUCCAGGCUUAAAGCUUAACUAGAGAGAGAUAAACAGAGGUUAAAGAUCUCAACAUCAGCAGAGAGCACAUUCAGAUGCAAACUUUCAGUGUGUCUCCAAAAGGCUUGAGGAGGCGGCCUCAAACCAGAGCUGCCAGCCUGGAGAAUGGUCAAGCAGAGGCUGCAGAUUACCUCACUGUAGACCUAGAAAUUCAUGUAGACAAAUGUCACUGUGUAGCUAGAUUUCUAAAACAAACCAGCCCAUGGAUGCUUCAAGUGUACGUCUGGACCAAAGGAAAUUUGUCUUAAAAAGCAGAUUUGUUCUAUAGUUUGCUAAAUCUACCAGUUUCACUGCCCAUCUCUGUGGAGAACAAGCUUGGUGAAGGUAGCCACAAUGUCCAUGAGGUACAGAAGGCCAAGAAGAAACUGGAGGUGAAGGAGGAGGCUGAAGCUUCACUAGGAGUACAAAAACUACCACAUUUUCCCAGAAAAAGAAACUAGCUUGUAUGAAUUCUGACUAUAGAACCGUGUGGGAAAAGACGACAGAGGUCACAUUGUCACAGUUUCUAAUCUUCAUAUGAUGAGACUAUUGAGGACUAAAAUCAAACACACAGAAAUGUGUAUCUGUGGCACCAGCCACUUUCAGAAGUCAUAAGAACGAUGCACAAUAACCACGUCUGAUUGGUAAAAAGAACCAAGCUCAGACUUUUGCGAUUCAGAACUGCAAAUAAUACAAGUCAACACAAAUUACACUGUAUGUAUAUAAAACAUAAAAAAAUGCAUAUCUUAAUUAUAUUUGUCUCAGGCAAUUCUGUUAGACUGGUCAAAAUAAAAUGUGUAAAUGUGAUCAGGGCAACUACCUGGACAGGACCAAGAAGAACCAGGAGCAAAACCUCAGCUUUGAGGGUGGAAGAUGCUGAGAGUCAUUAACAGGAGGAAAAAAUAAUACAGCAUCCAAAAAGUGGAAAACCAGGGUGAGGCGUUUUAGAGAGGAGAACGGGAGGUCUCUUAGUAUGUUUUACAAAGCCAAAUGUUCAGCUACUUAUGUUAUGACUGUGUUUCAUUUACUGACUGAUUAUUUACA
Molecule: long non-coding RNA, 1233 nt
Organism: Melanotaenia boesemani (Boeseman's rainbowfish)
Lineage: Eukaryota; Metazoa; Chordata; Actinopteri; Atheriniformes; Melanotaeniidae
Exons: 4
Source: RefSeq, a predicted model, not a curated record